Molecule: long non-coding RNA, 564 nt
Filed under: Homo sapiens (human)
Lineage: Eukaryota; Metazoa; Chordata; Mammalia; Primates; Hominidae
Description: non-protein coding lnc-TSR2-1:2
Source: RNAcentral
AUGGAUUCUCACUCUGUUGCCCAAGCUGGAGUGCAGUGGUGCCAUGUCGGUUCACUGCAACCUCUGCCUCCGGUUCAAGAAAUUCCCUUGCUUCAGCCUCCUGAGUAGAGUAGCUGGGACUACAGGUGUGCACCAUCAUGCCCAGCUAAUUUAUGUAUUUUUAGUAGAGACGGGGUUUCAGCAUGUUAGUCAGGCUGGUCUCGCACUCCUGACCUCAGGUGAUUGCCCGCCUUGGCCUCCCAAAGUGCUGGGAUUACAGGCGUGAGCCACUGCACCUGGCCUGAUUGCAAUUUUAAAAUUGGCAAACAAAUACACAAUUUGGAAUGGUGUUUCUGUAAUAUUUUGAUAACUGUAUUUUAACAUACUUGACUUCCUUUGUAAACCUAUAUUUUAUUGUAUGCAUUUAAAAACAUUAUUCUGGGCUAGGCUCAUGCCUGUAUUCCCAGCACUUUCGGAGGCUGAGGGAAGAUUACUUGAGCCCGGGAGUUUGAGACCAGCCUGAGCAACAUAGUGAGAACCUGGUCUCUGCAAAAUAAGUUUUUUUGUUUUUUUUGAGAUGGAAUC